UUUUUUUUUUUUUUUAGAUUUCCAAUUUUAAAAAAAUUAACAAACAAAUAAAAUUUUUCUAAAAGGUUUUAGCUUCCAAAACAUCUAUGAUAGCGGAACAUUCGCUUUUUAAAGGUUUCCAUGCUUCACAGAUUCAAACAAGGGGAUCAGAAUGAAAAGAAACAGAAGCUCGUGAGAAAUUUCUUUGAUGACAUAUUUAAAAGGCCAAAUAGAAGAGAUUAUUACCAAAUUUUUCUCCCUUUUAGAAAUUUAGAGCUUCUUUAGUGGUAGAAAUAGUUUCCUGUUUAGCAUUUACAAUUUCCUUUUCCAUACCUAGUUGAAAAGUUCUCAUUAAGAGAAGUAGUAAAUGCAUUAAACAAUGUUCUUUUUUUAUUAUUAUUAUUGUUCAAUUUAUGUUGUCUUUAUUAUGAAAUAACAAAAUAAAGGCAAAAUGUCAUAUAGGAGUAACCUUCCUUGUUUUGGACACAUAAAGAGUAUUAAAUGAGCUUCACAACCUGGUAGUGCUCCAUCUUUCCACAACUCAUUCCGCCAUCAUUCCAGUGAGAUUCAAACCACAGACCUACUAGAGGAAAUUGCUGGAGUUGGGAACCCCGAACACAGGUGCAAUAAUUACAAGUAUAAAUGUUAACAAAAAUGGGUGAUAUGGUGUCAACAGCAGUGGUGGUUCUCAUGGCCAAGGUAUGAUGACAGUUAUCAUAGUACACACAUGAUUAUGUCAACCCCUACCAUCUAAUACAUUUCAUCACACAAUCAAUAUGCUUAAUAAGUUGCAAAUUGUUGGUUACAAAACUGCUCAUCAUUGUGUCUUUAGUAGUUUAAAGGGCCUAUACAUAUUUUUUACCCAACUAGAGAGCCGACACAGACUACCUAAACAGCAACAGCAGCCAGCACAACUUAAUGUCAUUUCCUUCCAAAUUCCUCCUCACAUAACAUUUUCCUAAAAUUGUAUACUUCUUAUCUGUAAUUUGUGAGCAACAACAACAAAAAUUUUCCCCUUUAUUAUCUUCUUACACAUCUACAAUCUUGUACUUUUAAAAAGCAAUGCUGCACAUGCACAAAACCAAUUUUUUAUAAUAAGUCCAAAAGCAUUGUUAUCAAAGUCUUUCAUAUCACUCCUCAAAACUAAUUCAUGAUAUGAUGACCCUAAAAAGAGAUGGAAAACAAGCUUAGAAAUAAAUCCAUUUCACAAUCCCAUAGAUUGGAAAUUUGGUUUUAUAUUAUAAAAAGGCAUUAGUAUUGGCAUUCCAGGAUUAAUUAACAACAAUUCAGCUGCAAGAAAUAUGAUAAAAGUCGGUCAGAAAGAAGUUCUCUCUCAUGAAAUUCAUUAAAGGCCUUCAUAAAAUACAACAGCAAUCAACAAUGGACCUUCUAACUCUCCAAAUAAUAAACAGAGAGGGGAAAAAAAAAAAGAAUUCCAACUGCCCAAGGGAGAAUAGAUUUAGGCAUGAAAUCCCUUGAAAGUAAGCAAACUUCUUGUCUUAUGCAUGCUGAUAACUGGCUUCCCUACCACUUCUAUCAAUAUUUUGCAAUUUAAUUCUAAGUUUCACUGUUGGCACUGCUUUAAUUAUCUAAUUAUCAAACUCGAGAAAAUAAACGAAAUUAUUCUACAACAUCUCUAGCAGCAAACAUAUUUGGUUCUAUACACAUAUGAAUACAAGUAAAACAAUAACACACUUGCAUGUCCAUCAAAGGAUAUCCCACGACAGCAUAUUCAUGCUCAAACAAAUCAAUGCUUUGUAUCUACAAAAUACAACCAUUAACUCUACAAAUUAUGUUAGACGGGAGAAAAUGAAUGGGAAAACUGAGCAGUACCUGCAA
This 1818-nucleotide unclassified non-coding RNA is filed under the name Hevea brasiliensis (rubber tree). The record is from RNAcentral. Lineage: Eukaryota; Viridiplantae; Streptophyta; Magnoliopsida; Malpighiales; Euphorbiaceae.